UCUCUCAUUCACCUUGGGAGUUGAUCUACACUCAUAACCAAAAUGGUCAUAUUUAUUGCAAUUAUAAUAUUGUAUAUGGGAUUUAUUUCCUUGUUGAAAUCUACCUCUACCUCGACCUCGAUCUCAGUCUUGGCCUAAAACUCCUCAUCCAUGACUUGAUGUCUAAUAUUCUUCACUUGCUUGGCCUCUACCAUAUGAUUAAUUGCCUCAUCCAUAUGUUUCUCAUCCACCUCUAUUUCCACUUCUAUAUCCUCCACAAUUGCUUGUACCUUGUCCAAAAUCAUUGCUAGC
This 291-nucleotide long non-coding RNA is filed under the name Gossypium barbadense (sea-island cotton). Its description in RNAcentral is "long non-coding RNA (GBAR_LNC002123)". Lineage: Eukaryota; Viridiplantae; Streptophyta; Magnoliopsida; Malvales; Malvaceae. The record is from RNAcentral.